This 238-nucleotide ribosomal RNA is filed under the name uncultured Candidatus Saccharibacteria bacterium. RNAcentral's name for it is "partial 16S ribosomal RNA". It matches the Rfam family "Bacterial small subunit ribosomal RNA", at positions 583 to 818 of the family's 1533-position model. Lineage: Bacteria; Candidatus Saccharimonadota. The record is from RNAcentral.
AUAAGUGAAUAGUGAAAUCUGGGGGCUCAACCUCACAGGCUAUUAUUCGAACUCACUGACUCGAGAACAGCAGAGGUAACUGGAAUUUCUGAAGUAGGGGUAAUAUCCGUAGAUAUCAGAAGGAACACCAAUGGCGUAGGCAGGUUACUGGGCUGUUUCUGACACUGAGGCACGAAAGCGUGGGGGAGCGAACCGGAUUAGAUACCCGGGUAGUCCACGCCGUAAACGAUGGAUACUA